This is a non-coding RNA of Epinephelus moara (kelp grouper), 464 nucleotides long. Lineage: Eukaryota; Metazoa; Chordata; Actinopteri; Perciformes; Serranidae. The record is from the annotation of a RefSeq genome assembly.
AGUCUGCUAUAAAGACUUGAUAUCAUGCUGUCAGUUGCAGCAGAAGAAGAGAAGCUCCCAUCAGAUCACCUUCAAUACCAACCAUGUUCUCUGUAGCUCUGCUGCUGCUGCUGGCUGCUGGAUCCUGUGUGAAGUGUGAACAGUUGACACAGCCAGCCUCUGUGACUGUGCAGCCAGGUCAACGUCUGACCAUCACCUGUCAGGUCUCUUAUUCUGUGAGCAGCUAUCGCACAGCUUGGAUCAGACAGCCUGCAGGGAAAGGACUGGAGUGGAUUGGAAUGACAGCUGGAUCCACCACAUACUACAAAGAUUCACUGAACAACAAGUUCAGUAUCAGCUCAGACUCUUCCACGAAAACAGUGACUCUAAACGGACAGAAUGUGCAGCCUGAAGACACUGCUGUGUAUUACUGUGCCAGAGAGCGCCACAGUGACACAAAGCAUCAGUAGACCUGAACAAAAACC